This 69-nucleotide transfer RNA is filed under the name Ailuropoda melanoleuca (giant panda). It matches the Rfam family "tRNA". From Rfam's summary of the family: Transfer RNA (tRNA) molecules are approximately 80 nucleotides in length. Their secondary structure includes four short double-helical elements and three loops (D, anti-codon, and T loops). Lineage: Eukaryota; Metazoa; Chordata; Mammalia; Carnivora; Ursidae. The record is from Rfam by way of RNAcentral.
ACCUGGCUGGCUCAGUAAAGCAUGAGACUCUUGGUCUCAGGGUCAUGAGUUCGAGUCCCAUGUUGGGUG